GCCUAGUUAGCUUAGUUGGUAGUGCGUCGCCUUGUAAGCGCUAGGCCGCGGGUUCGAUUCCCGCCCGGGGCG
Molecule: transfer RNA, 72 nt
Filed under: Diaphorina citri (Asian citrus psyllid)
Lineage: Eukaryota; Metazoa; Arthropoda; Insecta; Hemiptera; Psyllidae
Rfam family: tRNA
About the family: Transfer RNA (tRNA) molecules are approximately 80 nucleotides in length. Their secondary structure includes four short double-helical elements and three loops (D, anti-codon, and T loops).
Source: Rfam by way of RNAcentral